UCAAUAAGCGGAGGAAAAGAAACUAACAAGGAUUCCCCUAGUAACGGCGAGUGAAGCGGGAAGAGCUCAAAUUUGUAAUCUGGCACUUUCAGUGUCCGAGUUGUAAUCUCGAGAAGUGUUUUCCGCGCCGGACCGCAUACAAGUCUGUUGGAAUACAGCGUCAUAGUGGUGAGAACCCCGUAACUGAUGCGGAUGCCCGGUGCUUUGUGAUACACUUUCGAAGAGUCGAGUUGUUUGGGAAUGCAGCUCAAAUUGGGUGGUAAAUUCCAUCUAAAGCUAAAUAUUGGCGAGAGACCGAUAGCGAACAAGUACCGUGAGGGAAAGAUGAAAAGCACUUUGGAAAGAGAGUUAACAGUACGUGAAAUUGUUGGAAGGGAAACGAUUGAAGUCAGACUUGUUAUCUGGAGUUCAGCCUUUCGGUGUACUCUCCAGUUUACAGGCCAGCAUCAGUUUUCGGGGCGGGGAAAAUCGUAAUUAGAAGGUAGCAGCCUAGCUGUGUUAUAGCUCUUUACUGGAUUCCGCUUUGGGGACUGAGGAACGCAGUGUGCUUUUAGCAAUACCCUCGGGUAUUUCACACUUAG
Molecule: ribosomal RNA, 581 nt
Filed under: Curvibasidium nothofagi
Lineage: Eukaryota; Fungi; Basidiomycota; Microbotryomycetes
Description: eukaryotic LSU rRNA
Rfam family: Eukaryotic large subunit ribosomal RNA
Source: RNAcentral